This is a long non-coding RNA of Poecilia reticulata (guppy), 530 nucleotides long. RefSeq lists it as uncharacterized. NCBI's taxonomy places the organism in Eukaryota, Metazoa, Chordata, Actinopteri, Cyprinodontiformes, Poeciliidae. The record is from RefSeq and is a predicted model, not a curated record.
UUUCUUCUUCUUCUGCUUCUUCCUCAGAUGAUGCUGAUGAUGCUGCUGCUUCUUCUUCUUCUGCUCUCCGAUCCGUGGUCCUCCUCAGCUCACGUAGCAGAAUGACCGGAGUCCAGCUAUGACCAGAGCAUCACAAACAUGAAGCUGGAUGAAGGGAGACUGAAUGAAAGCUUCAAAAAAUGCAUUUUGCUCUGCAUCGGUGGAGCAGCUGUUGCUCCUGCGUGGGUCUGGGAAAAACGAGAAGAGAGGAAGGAGCAACCAACAGCAGCACUCAUCAUCCUCAGGAAGCAUCCAAUUUCAUCCAGAGCCAGUUGAAACGUUGUGACUUAACCUACAAUGAAUUUGAUAAAAUCAGGAAUUUUACAAAGGUCAUUUUGAUUUAGUAAAGGUUGUGGGCUGGUUUGAAUUUUUAUUAAUAUCUUCAAAGCCAAAGCAGCACAAACAAAAACUUGUGGUGCACAAAUGUAGUCGAGUUGAUCAGCACCAAUUUAGUCUGAUUUGAAGAAGGUGCAGGGGGGAAGAGGAAACCC